Molecule: ribosomal RNA, 770 nt
Filed under: uncultured Acaulosporaceae
Lineage: Eukaryota; Fungi; Glomeromycota; Glomeromycetes; Diversisporales; Acaulosporaceae
Description: eukaryotic LSU rRNA
Rfam family: Eukaryotic large subunit ribosomal RNA
Source: RNAcentral
GUCAAGUAAGAAUACCCGCUGAACUUAAGCAUAUCAAUAAGCGGAGGAAAAGAAACUAACUAGGAUUCCCUUAGUAACGGCGAGUGAACUGGGAAGAGCUCAAAUUUUAAAUCACUUUGGUGAAUUGUAAUUUGAAGAAAGUGUUUUGACUUUUCAGUUUAAUCUAAAUCCUUUGGGAUGAGGUAUCAUAGAGGGUGAGAAUCCCGUUUGUGAUUAAACCUCGGAUUGCACUAAUUCACUUUCUAAGAGUCGAGUUGUUUGGGAUUGCAGCUCUAAAUGGGUGGUAAAUUUCACCUAAGGCUAAAUAUAUGCAAGAGACCGAUAGCGAACAAGUACCGUGAGGGAAAGAUGAAAAGAACUUUGAAAAGAGAGUUAAACAGUACGUGAAAUUGUUGAAAGGGAAACGAUUGAAGUCAGUCAUGCUAGUGAGGAAUCAACUUGGUGGUUUACUUCCUUGUGUAUUUUCUUACUUGGCAGGUUAGCAUCAAUUUUGGUUGUCAUCAAAUAAUUGGGGGAAUGUGGCUUUUCUUCGGGAAAGUGUUAUAGACCUUGAUAGAUGUGGCGACUGAGAUUGAGGUUUGCAGCGAAUGCCUUGGGCUAGUCAUCUGUCUUCGGACCGUCACCUCGCUUUUGACAGCUUGCUGAUGAUUGCGGGAUUUGGUGGCCUAGAAGUUAGAAUGUACAUAAAUUCGCUAAGGAUGCUGACGUAAUGGCUUUAAACGACCCGUCUUGAAACACGGACCAAGGAGUCUAACAUAUGUGCGAGUGUU